UAGCCCCAGAAAGACCUUCUUCUUCUUCCUUAGAAAAAAAAAACCCUAGGACACAAGACUAAAAAUCCAUGGCAGCUUUCUUCUUCAACAAGACACCACCCAAAAACCUAGCUGAACCCUAGCACCCUUAGAGACCCCAACCGCCGGUCAUCUCCCAACCCAAACUCGCCGGACCUUCUUCUUCAACAAGAAGACAACACAAGACUACAGACCCAUGGCUGCCUUCCUCGUUUUCCUCAGCUUAACGACCAAACGAUCCCACCCUUUCUGCUGCUACCCCAAAAAUCAACCAGCCGCAGUCUCCUUCAACGACAAACCAACCACGCAACCACCCUUCACUACCACAAAAAAUAGCCGCCACACCAUCCCUGAUUCUCUAACCAUCCACUGUCUGCCUCACGUAAAUCUUUGAUGGAACUCGAUGAGAUGCAGCCGAGAUCGAGUUCGAGUUUGCCGACGAGUCUCCUCCGGUCGAAGGUUCCUGUUUGGUUGAGUUAGAUUGUUGUCCAUUCUCGGAGGAAUUUAUUUUUUAAAUCUGAAAGCUCGACUAAAGGAACAUGUAUGUCUAGUGGCCUAGUUGGGAGCAGCGACAUGAUUGACACAGGGACUUAGACGAGCUGCAUCUUUUGUGAGAAUCCGCAUCCAGCAAAGUCUCCUUCAGAGUAUUGUUAUUUUCUUUUCUGUCCAAAUUAUAUUCCGUACAGUUAUUGUAUUUUAUUUUAUUCCUUAAUAAAUGCUCAUGCACUUGUGACACCAGGUUCUGGGACGAUUAUAGGAUACUUAGUGUUGAAAUUGGAAAACGUUAUUUCUAUUCUAGUAAAGUUCAUCUUUUACCAGUUAAA
Molecule: long non-coding RNA, 842 nt
Organism: Nicotiana tabacum (common tobacco)
Lineage: Eukaryota; Viridiplantae; Streptophyta; Magnoliopsida; Solanales; Solanaceae
Source: RefSeq, a predicted model, not a curated record